This 253-nucleotide ribosomal RNA is filed under the name uncultured bacterium. RNAcentral describes it as "partial 16S ribosomal RNA". It matches the Rfam family "Bacterial small subunit ribosomal RNA", at positions 524 to 776 of the family's 1533-position model. The record is from RNAcentral.
UACGUAGGGACCAAGCGUUGUUCGGAUUUACUGGGCGUAAAGGGCGCGUAGGCGGCUUGACAAGUCACUUGUGAAAUCUCCGGGCUUAACUCGGAACGGCCAAGUGAUACUGUCGUGCUAGAGUGCGGAAGGGGCUACUGGAAUUCUCGGUGUAGCGGUGAAAUGCGUAGAUAUCGAGAGGAACACCUGCGGCGAAGGCGGGUAGCUGGGCCGACACUGACGCUGAGGCGCGAAAGCCAGGGGAGCGAACGGG